This 402-nucleotide ribosomal RNA is filed under the name bacterium. RNAcentral's name for it is "partial 16S ribosomal RNA". It matches the Rfam family "Bacterial small subunit ribosomal RNA", at positions 355 to 776 of the family's 1533-position model. The record is from RNAcentral.
UGGGGAAUUUUGCACAAUGGGGGAAACCCUGAUGCAGCGACGCCGCGUGAUUUAGAAGGCCUUCGGGUUGUAAAAAUCUUUUUUACGGGAUGAAAAUGACAGUACCGUAAGAAUAAGGUCCGGCUAAAUACGUGCCAGCAGCCGCGGUAAUACGUAUGAACCGAGCGUUGUCCGGAAUCAUUGGGCGUAAAGGGUACGUAGGCGGCCUAGUAAGUUAGAAGUGAAAUAAUAUAGCUCAACUAUAUAAAGCUUUUAAAACUGCUAGGCUUGAGAGAUGGAGGGGAAAGUGGAAUUCCUAGUGUAGCGGUGAAGUGCGCAGAUAUUAGGAAGAAUACCGGUGGCGAAGGCGACUUUCUGGUCAUCAUCUGACGCUGAGGUACGAAAGCAUGGGUAGCAAACAGG